GGGAGCAGAAGAGGUGCGUUAACCAGGUAGUCUGUCUGAGGUAUCCAAAUACCCGGGAAGGCAGGUGAGGGGGCUUAACGCCGAGAUGAGUUUGCGUUUGGAUGCAAUACUUGUCGGUCACUGGGGCUGAAUCCUCAGGGCUGUCACCUUUGGUGGAGAGCUUCUGGUAUU
Molecule: non-coding RNA, 171 nt
Filed under: Photobacterium ganghwense
Lineage: Bacteria; Pseudomonadati; Pseudomonadota; Gammaproteobacteria; Vibrionales; Vibrionaceae
Description: Lysine sequence
Rfam family: Lysine riboswitch aptamer
About the family: Riboswitches are metabolite binding domains within certain messenger RNAs that serve as precision sensors for their corresponding targets. Allosteric rearrangement of mRNA structure is mediated by ligand binding, and this results in modulation of gene expression.
Source: Rfam by way of RNAcentral